Molecule: long non-coding RNA, 357 nt
Filed under: Notechis scutatus (mainland tiger snake)
Lineage: Eukaryota; Metazoa; Chordata; Lepidosauria; Squamata; Elapidae
Description: lncRNA (ENSNSUG00000012036.1)
Source: RNAcentral
AUUUAAAUUUUGAUUUAAAUUCAGGAAGUUCUGGAAAAAGAUAGAUUCUUAUUUAUAUGUAUCUCUGUUUAAGCAAUUCUGAAAAAACAGAUGAUGAUAGCUGGCUUUCUUCAGAAGAGGAGGAACUAGGCUCCAGCCCCAAGAAACCAGAAAAACCAAGUUUGGCUCGGCUAAUGAAAGUUCCAUGGGACUUCUUGAAAAAAUUAGAUGAGAAAGAUUGCACUAUCCGAACAGAACCCUUAGGCAGUUCACAGCAAAAUAAAGCAAAUUAUGAUUUUGAAGAAUGCAAUGAAUCCCUUCCUAAGCCUUUGUUCCAAGUCAAAACCUUCCCUCAUUCUGUCCAUUCCUCACCUGGCU